This 577-nucleotide ribosomal RNA is filed under the name uncultured bacterium. Its description in RNAcentral is "partial 16S ribosomal RNA". It matches the Rfam family "Bacterial small subunit ribosomal RNA", at positions 355 to 923 of the family's 1533-position model. The record is from RNAcentral.
UGGGGAAUUUUGGACAAUGGGCGAAAGCCUGAUCCAGCAAUGCCGCGUGUGUGAAGAAGGCCUUCGGGUUGUAAAGCACUUUUGUCCGGAAAGAAAUCCUUGGCUCUAAUACAGUCGGGGGAUGACGGUACCGGAAGAAUAAGCACCGGCUAACUACGUGCCAGCAGCCGCGGUAAUACGUAGGGUGCAAGCGUUAAUCGGAAUUACUGGGCGUAAAGCGUGCGCAGGCGGUUUGCUAAGACCGAUGUGAAAUCCCCGGGCUCAACCUGGGAACUGCAUUGGUGACUGGCAGGCUAGAGUAUGGCAGAGGGGGGUAGAAUUCCACGUGUAGCAGUGAAAUGCGUAGAGAUGUGGAGGAAUACCGAUGGCGAAGGCAGCCCCCUGGGCCAAUACUGACGCUCAUGCACGAAAGCGUGGGGAGCAAAACAGGAUUAGAUACCCUGGGUAGUCCACGCCCUAAACGAUGUCAACUAGUUGUUGGGGAUUCAUUUCCUUAGUAACGUAGCUAACGCGUGAAGUUGACCGCCUGGGGAGUACGGUCGCAAGAUUAAAACUUAAAUGAAUUGACGGGGUCAUA